UCUCCUGGAAACGGGUGGUAAUGCCGGAUGUUCCAGUUGAUCGCAUGGUCUUCUGGGAAAGCUUUCGCGGUAUGGGAUGGGGUCGCGUCCUAUCAGCUUGACGGCGGGGUAACGGCCCACCGUGGCUUCGACGGGUAGCCGGCCUGAGAGGGCGACCGGCCACAUUGGGACUGAGAUACGGCCCAGACUCCUACGGGAGGCAGCAGUGGGGAAUAUUGCACAAUGGGCGCAAGCCUGAUGCAGCGACGCCGCGUGAGGGAUGGAGGCCUUCGGGUUGUAAACCUCUUUUAUCGGGGAGCAAGCGAGAGUGAGUUUACCCGUUGAAUAAGCACCGGCUAACUACGUGCCAGCAGCCGCGGUAAUACGUAGGGUGCAAGCGUUAUCCGGAAUUAUUGGGCGUAAAGGGCUCGUAGGCGGUUCGUCGCGUCCGGUGUGAAAGUCCAUCGCUUAACGGUGGAUCCGCGCCGGGUACGGGCGGGCUUGAGUGCGGUAGGGGAGACUGGAAUUCCCGGUGUAACGGUGGAAUGUGUAGAUAU
RNAcentral lists this ribosomal RNA (536 nucleotides) under Bifidobacterium longum subsp. infantis. RNAcentral's name for it is "bacterial SSU rRNA". It matches the Rfam family "Bacterial small subunit ribosomal RNA", at positions 146 to 697 of the family's 1533-position model. Lineage: Bacteria; Bacillati; Actinomycetota; Actinomycetes; Bifidobacteriales; Bifidobacteriaceae. The record is from RNAcentral.